UGUACUAUUAAUAUUUAAUUUUUUAUUUAUUUUUUUCUUUUUUAAAGCUUCAAAUGGCUCCUUUUAAACUGCACCUCUUCAACAAAUUUCCCACUUUGGUGCAAGACCAUUCUAUGGUUAUCUUCAAUUUUAGCAGGCUGUGCUGGGGUCAGAUGUCCAGAAGGGAACAUUUCUAGCUAUAUCUUCAUUCUCAAGGAGAGUACCACUGUGGGCAUGCAUUUGCAGCUUGGAGCAGUAGCUGCUAAGAACCUGUUAGUUACAGCAUGUGACUGGGGAAGGAGCAUUACCACAGAUUACCUCUAGUCUAUUUUCAUGACCCCCUGUCAUGAACUGACAUGCAUAAGUACACUGCUGGAGUGUAUUUCCCACAUAGCUGCAUCUGGGAGGAAUCUAAUACUCUCCAAGAGCCAACCACAGUGCAGUGAAUGGGAAAACUGAAAGACUCACUUUAAAAAGAUAAGCCCCAUCUCAACUAAAAUGCUGGCCUAGUUUCACCCACUGAAUACAGCAGGCUUAGGAUCACUCCUCACAAGCAGUCAUGAAUUUUUCUUUCCUUCAAAACUGAGUUAGGAAAGAAUGACGUACUACUUAAGCAUGAAACCGGUGUGAACUUUCUGUGCAGAAAACAUAAUCAAGUGUGUAGUAACUUAUCUUCUUGACUGCAUGUUACUCUUAGCUGGGGAAACAUGGAAAAUUGUCUAUAUGGGCCACAUAGUCACUUUAGAUCUCUCAAUCUGUGAUGCAAAAAAAAACCACCAACAAAAACACUGUGUGUUUUAAAAACUAGAGAAAUUGUGGUCUAAUACAGGAAGGCUGUCUUUGUCCUCUAAAAGAUGAGCAGGAAUAAUUGAAUCAUUUUUGCCUUUCUUUUUGCUACUCCAAAACCUUCCUGCUGCAUAUGUAGCUUGUACUCCACAGCAUACAGUCAGCUGCAAGGCAGUAAAACCAAUUCUCUUUACAGAAAGACCCCAUUUCCCUUCCCAAAUACAAAUUUCAUUCCUUUAUUUCUGUUCAC
RNAcentral lists this long non-coding RNA (1015 nucleotides) under Coturnix japonica (Japanese quail). RNAcentral's name for it is "lncRNA (ENSCJPG00005010880.1)". Lineage: Eukaryota; Metazoa; Chordata; Aves; Galliformes; Phasianidae. The record is from RNAcentral.